This 1413-nucleotide ribosomal RNA is filed under the name Triticum aestivum (bread wheat). Its description in RNAcentral is "partial small subunit ribosomal RNA". Lineage: Eukaryota; Viridiplantae; Streptophyta; Magnoliopsida; Poales; Poaceae. The record is from RNAcentral.
AUGGCCGCCUCGGCAAUCAGAAACCCUAGCCCAGCCGCCGCCGUCGCCGCGCCCCUGCCCUCCCGCGCGGUGCUGCGGAUGGUGACGCCGUCGGCCCGGAGAGGCGCGUCCGUCGUGGCGUCCGCGUCAAUGCGGCCGGCCAAGGCGGUCGCGGCGGAGGCGCCCUCCCCCGUUGCCGAGAGAGUGAACGGGGCCGAGGUGGCGGGGGCGGGCAUCGCGAGGCCCGACGCGCUCGGUAGGUUCGGCAAGUUCGGGGGCAAGUACGUGCCGGAGACCCUCAUGCACGCCCUCACCGAGCUCGAGGCCGCCUUCCACGCGCUCGCCGACGACGAGGACUUCCAGAAAGAACUUGACGGCAUCCUCAAGGAUUACGUGGGCCGCGAGAGCCCGCUAUACUUUGCGGAGCGCUUGACGGAGCACUACAAGCGUGCUGAUGGCACUGGCCCACUGAUUUACCUCAAGAGGGAGGAUCUGAACCACACCGGUGCUCACAAGAUCAACAAUGCUGUGGCACAAGCUCUGCUUGCCAAGAAGCUUGGGAAGCAGCGUAUUAUUGCUGAGACUGGGGCUGGCCAGCAUGGGGUUGCCACUGCAACAGUGUGUGCUCGGUUUGGUCUGCAGUGCAUCAUCUACAUGGGUGCACAAGAUAUGGAGAGGCAGGCGCUUAACGUUUUCAGGAUGAAGCUUCUUGGGGCAGAGGUAAGGCCAGUACAUUCUGGGACUGCAACGCUGAAGGAUGCUACCUCAGAGGCCAUCCGUGACUGGGUCACCAACGUAGAGACCACACACUACAUUUUGGGCUCAGUUGCGGGUCCACACCCAUACCCGAUGAUGGUGAGGGAGUUCCAUAAGGUGAUCGGCAAGGAGACCCGUAGACAGGCGAUGGACAAGUGGGGUGGCAAGCCUGACGUGCUGGUUGCUUGUGUUGGUGGUGGAUCAAAUGCCAUGGGUCUCUUCCAUGAGUUUGUUGAUGAUCAGGAUGUAAGACUGAUUGGAGUGGAGGCUGCUGGUCAUGGUGUAGACACUGACAAGCACGCUGCAACAUUAACGAAGGGGGAAGUCGGAGUUCUCCAUGGAUCUCUGAGUUAUGUAUUGCAGGAUGCUGAUGGACAAGUGAUUGAGCCCCACUCCAUCAGUGCUGGGUUGGAUUACCCAGGUGUUGGACCUGAGCAUAGUUUCUUGAGGGAUAUUGGACGUGCUGAAUAUGAUAGUGUGACAGAUCAGGAGGCAUUGGACGCUUUCAAGCGCACCUCUCGGCUGGAGGGCAUCAUCCCUGCCCUGGAGACAUCCCACGCGCUGGCUUACCUGGAGAAGCUCUGCCCAACACUACCGGAUGGUGUGAGGGUGGUUCUCAACUGCAGUGGAAGAGGAGACAAGGAUGUCCACACAGCCAGCAAGUACCUUGAAGUCUAG